GACGAACGCUGGCGGCGUGCUUAACACAUGCAAGUCGAACGGAAAGGCCCUGCUUUUGUGGGGUGCUCGAGUGGCGAACGGGUGAGUAACACGUGAGUAACCUGCCCUUGACUUUGGGAUAACUUCAGGAAACUGGGGCUAAUACCGGAUAGGAGCUCCUGCUGCAUGGUGGGGGUUGGAAAGUUUCGGCGGUUGGGGAUGGACUCGCGGCUUAUCAGCUUGUUGGGGGGGUAGUGGCUUACCAAGGCUUUGACGGGUAGCCGGCCUGAGAGGGUGACCGGCCACCUUGGGACUGAGAUACGGCCCAGACUCCUACGGGACGCAGCAGUGGGGAAUAUUGCACAAUGGGCGGAAGCCUGAUGCAGCAACGCCGCGUGCGGGAUGACGGCCUUCGGGUUGUAAACCGCUUUCGCCUGUGACGAAGCGUGAGUGACGGUAAUUGGUAAAGAAGCACCGGCUAACUACGUG
Molecule: ribosomal RNA, 468 nt
Filed under: uncultured bacterium
Lineage: Bacteria
Description: partial 16S ribosomal RNA
Rfam family: Bacterial small subunit ribosomal RNA
Source: RNAcentral